AUUGAACGCUGGCGGCAGGCCUAACACAUGCAAGUCGAGCGGAUGAAGGGAGCUUGCUCCUGGAUUCGGCGGCGGACGGGUGAGUAAUGCCUAGGAAUCUGCCUGGUAGUGGGGGAUAACGUCCGGAAACGGGCGCUAAUACCGCAUACGUCCUGAGGGAGAAAGUGGGGGAUCUUCGGACCUCACGCUAUCAGAUGAGCCUAGGUCGGAUUGGCUAGUUGGUGGGGUAAAGGCCUACCAAGGCGACGAUCCGUAACUGGUCUGAGAGGAUGAUCAGUCACACUGGAACUGAGACACGGUCCAGACUCCUACGGGAGGCAGCAGUGGGGAAUAUUGGACAAUGGGCGAAAGCCUGAUCCAGCCAUGCCGCGUGUGUGAAGAAGGUCUUCGGAUUGUAAAGCACUUUAAGUUGGGAGGAAGGGCAGUAAGUUAAUACCUUGCUGUUUUGACGUUACCAACAGAAUAAGCACCGGCUAACUUCGUG
This 484-nucleotide ribosomal RNA is filed under the name uncultured bacterium. RNAcentral describes it as "partial 16S ribosomal RNA". It matches the Rfam family "Bacterial small subunit ribosomal RNA", at positions 30 to 507 of the family's 1533-position model. The record is from RNAcentral.